RNAcentral lists this ribosomal RNA (254 nucleotides) under uncultured bacterium. RNAcentral describes it as "partial 16S ribosomal RNA". It matches the Rfam family "Bacterial small subunit ribosomal RNA", at positions 524 to 776 of the family's 1533-position model. The record is from RNAcentral.
UACGUAGGGGCCAAGCGUUGUCCGGAUUUAUUGGGCGUAAAGAGCUCGUAGGCGGUUCGGCAAGUCGAAUGUGAAAUCUCCACGCUCAACGUGGAGGGGUCAUUCGAUACUGCCGUGACUCGAGUCCGGUAGGGGAGUGUGGAAUUCCCGGUGUAGCGGUGAAAUGCGCAGAUAUCAGGAGGAACACCGGUGGCGAAGGCGGAUCUCUGGGCCAUUACUGACGCUGAGGAGCGAAAGCGUGGGGAGCGAACAGG